AAUAAUAAUAAUAAUAAUAAUAAUAAUAAUAAUAAUAAUAAAAUAUAAAAUUUAAAUAAAUAUUUUCUAAUUGUUUCUAAAGCACAAAUUUAUAUAUAUUCUAAAUAUAUAAGCAGUUUACAAAAAGAAACAAAACUGAAAGCGCGCUUUUCUUAUUCUUACUCUACGUUUACCUUUCUUUUAAAAAAUGUUUCAUUUAAAAUUCAUUAGCAAAAUACAUUAUCCUUUCAUACGAAAAAUUACCAGAAGAAGCCUUUAUACAGUAAGCAAAAAAAUAGAUAAAAAAACGAACGAGCGAGCAAAAUAAUAGACGAAAAAAAAAAAAAAAAAUUUCAUACAUAUAAUUUAAUUUAAAAAAAAUUACCAUAAGUGAAAAGUGAAUAUGUUAGUACAUUUAAAAAAUAAAAACGAAUAAUAUACAUAUAUAUAUAUAUAUAUAUAUGUACAAAUUUAAAUAAACACAAAUAAUUUAAAAAAUAGAAUAAAACCAUAUAUUUUUUUUUUCAAUUGCAGGAAAUAAUAAGUAUAGAUGAUUAUUUAGCAAAAGUAAAUUCAGAUAAGUUAGUUGUAGCCCAAUUUGGAGCUUCAUGGUGUGCUCCUUGCAACAAAUUAAAGCCAGUGGUAUGUUCUUUAAAAACAAAAAAAAAAAAAACAUAAGUUCAUACUUAUGUACGUAAACUCAAACAUAUAUACUUAUGUUUGUAAAUGUUGUUAAUAAAUCUAAUAUAUAUAUAUAUACAUUUUAAGAUUAAAAAAAUAGGUGAAGAUAAUGAAAAUGUUGAGACCUUAUUUAUAGACAUCGACGAAUUGCCUGAAUUAGCAGAGAAUGAAGACAUAAAUGAACUACCAACAGUUUUACUGCGAAGAAGUGGAAAGUAUUUAGAUAAAAUAGUAGGUAAGGUUUUAUUUACAUAACUAUUCAAUUUAUUCAUUCAUAUAUAUACAUGUUUUUGAUGUAAAUAUAUGCACGUGCACUAACUAUAUAUAAAUGUAUAUAUAUUGCAUAUCUAUACUUUUUUUUUUUUAGGAUUAAAUGAACAGGAAUUAAAAAAGAGCAUACAGAAACACCAACAAGACUGAUGAUAAGGAGUGUAUAUAUGCAUAUUCAGUUCUGCCUUUGGAUAUAUAUAUAUAUAUAUAUAUACACAUGAACAUGUACAUGUAAACCUUAUAAACACUUAUAUAUUAUGCUCCUUAAAGGUACAACACAAUUUC
Molecule: long non-coding RNA, 1215 nt
Filed under: Piliocolobus tephrosceles (Ugandan red Colobus)
Lineage: Eukaryota; Metazoa; Chordata; Mammalia; Primates; Cercopithecidae
Description: lncRNA (ENSPTEG00000007083.1)
Source: RNAcentral